UAGAGUUUGAUCCUGGCUCAGGACGAACGCUGGCGGCGUGCCUAAUACAUGCAAGUCGAGCGGACAGAUGGGAGCUUGCUCCCUGAUGUUAGCGGCGGACGGGUGAGUAACACGUGGGUAACCUGCCUGUAAGACUGGGAUAACUCCGGGAAACCGGGGCUAAUACCGGAUGCUUGUUUGAACCGCAUGGUUCAAACAUAAAAGGUGGCUUCGGCUACCACUUACAGAUGGACCCGCGGCGCAUUAGCUAGUUGGUGAGGUAACGGCUCACCAAGGCAACGAUGCGUAGCCGACCUGAGAGGGUGAUCGGCCACACUGGGACUGAGACACGGCCCAGACUCCUACGGGAGGCAGCAGUAGGGAAUCUUCCGCAAUGGACGAAAGUCUGACGGAGCAACGCCGCGUGAGUGAUGAAGGUUUUCGGAUCGUAAAGCUCUGUUGUUAGGGAAGAACAAGUACCGUUCGAAUAGGGCGGUACCUUGACGGUACCUAACCAGAAAGCCACGGCUAACUACGUGCCAGCAGCCGCGGUAAUACGUAGGUGGCAAGCGUUGUCCGGAAUUAUUGGGCGUAAAGGGCUCGCAGGCGGUUCCUUAAGUCUGAUGUGAAAGCCCCCGGCUCAACCGGGGAGGGUCAUUGGAAACUGGGGAACUUGAGUGCAGAAGAGGAGAGUGGAAUUCCACGUGUAGCGGUGAAAUGCGUAGAGAUGUGGAGGAACACCAGUGGCGAAGGCGACUCUCGGUCUGUAACGAC
Molecule: ribosomal RNA, 753 nt
Filed under: Bacillus mojavensis
Lineage: Bacteria; Bacillati; Bacillota; Bacilli; Caryophanales; Bacillaceae
Description: bacterial SSU rRNA
Rfam family: Bacterial small subunit ribosomal RNA
Source: RNAcentral